This 483-nucleotide ribosomal RNA is filed under the name uncultured bacterium. Its description in RNAcentral is "partial 16S ribosomal RNA". It matches the Rfam family "Bacterial small subunit ribosomal RNA", at positions 30 to 506 of the family's 1533-position model. The record is from RNAcentral.
AUUGAACGCUGGCGGCAGGCCUAACACAUGCAAGUCGAGCGGACGAAGGGAGCUUGCUCCUGGAUUCAGCGGCGGACGGGUGAGUAAUGCCUAGGAAUCUGCCUGGCAGUUGGGGAUAACGUCCGGAAACGGGCGCUAAUACCGCAUACGUCCUGAGGGUGAAAGGGGGGGAUCUUCGGACCUCACGCUAUUAGAUGAGCCUAGGUCGUAUUGGCUAGUCGGUGGGGUAAAGGCCUACCAAGGCGACGAUCCGUAACUGGUCUGCGAGGAUGAUCAGUAAAACUGGACCUGAGAAACGGUCCGGACUCCUACGGGAGGCAGAGGUGGGGAAUAUUCGACAAUGGGCGAAAGCCUGAUCCGGCCAUGCCGCGUGUGUAAAGAAGGUCUUCGGAUUGUAAAGCACUUUAAGUUGGGAGAAAGAGCAGUAAGUUAAUAACUUGCUGUUUUGACGUUACCAACAGAAUAGGCACCGGCUACCUUCGU